This 617-nucleotide ribosomal RNA is filed under the name uncultured bacterium. Its description in RNAcentral is "bacterial SSU rRNA". It matches the Rfam family "Bacterial small subunit ribosomal RNA", at positions 254 to 868 of the family's 1533-position model. The record is from RNAcentral.
GGGGUAACGGCCUACCAAGGCGAUUACGGGUAGCCGGCCUGAGAGGGCGACCGGCCACACUGGGACUGAGACACGGCCCAGACUCCUGCGGGAGGCAGCAGUGGGGAAUAUUGCGCAAUGGGCGAAAGCCUGACGCAGCGACGCCGCGUGGGGGAUGACGGCCUUCGGGUUGUAAACCUCUUUUACCACCAACGCAGGCUCCGGGUUCUCUCGGGGUUGACGGUAGGUGGGGAAUAAGGACCGGCUAACUACGUGCCAGCAGCCGCGGUAAUACGUAGGGUCCGAGCGUUGUCCGGAAUUAUUGGGCGUAAAGAGCUCGUAGGCGGCGUGUCGCGUCUGCUGUGAAAGACCGGGGCUUAACUCCGGUUCUGCAGUGGAUACGGGCAUGCUAGAGGUAGGUAGGGGAGACUGGAAUUCCUGGUGUAGCGGUGAAAUGCGCAGAUAUCAGGAGGAACACCGGUGGCGAAGGCGGGUCUCUGGGCCUUACCUGACGCUGAGGAGCGAAAGCAUGGGGAGCGAACAGGAUUAGAUACCCUGGUAGUCCAUGCCGUAAACGUUGGGCGCUAGGUGUGGGGACUUUCCACGGUUUCCGCGCCGUAGCUAACGCAUUAAGCGCC